AUUGAACGCUGGCGGCAUGCCUUACACAUGCAAGUCGAACGGCAGCGGACCUUCGGUGCCGGCGAGUGGCGAACGGGUGAGUAAUAUAUCGGAACGUACCUUUCAGUGGGGGAUAACGUAGCGAAAGUUAACGCUAAUACCGCAUAUUCUGUGAGCAGGAAAGCAGGGGAUCGCAAGACCUUGCGCUGAUUGAGCGGCCGAUAUCAGAUUAGCUAGUUGGUGAGGUAAAGGCUCACCAAGGCGACGAUCUGUAGCGGGUCUGAGAGGAUGAUCCGCCACACUGGAACUGAGACACGGUCCAGACUCCUACGGGAGGCAGCAGUGGGGGAAAUUUUGACGAACUAGGCGG
This 349-nucleotide ribosomal RNA is filed under the name uncultured bacterium. RNAcentral's name for it is "bacterial SSU rRNA". It matches the Rfam family "Bacterial small subunit ribosomal RNA", at positions 30 to 378 of the family's 1533-position model. The record is from RNAcentral.